This 644-nucleotide long non-coding RNA is filed under the name Gossypium barbadense (sea-island cotton). RNAcentral describes it as "long non-coding RNA (GBAR_LNC007982)". Lineage: Eukaryota; Viridiplantae; Streptophyta; Magnoliopsida; Malvales; Malvaceae. The record is from RNAcentral.
AUGAAUCGAAAUGGUACGCUUCCCUUUUCCUUUUCAUUAUUCGCAAUAUAUACAUGCACAUAUAUUUAAAACAUUCACCUUUAUGUAUUUCAGUCGACUGCUGGUUUCUUUAGUAUAAGAACGUAUUUUGUUUUUUAUUGAAUCUCUCUGUUCUUAAAAAAAAAACCUCCUCUUUACAAAUUAAAAAGAAAGGGUUUUUAUAACCCUCGAUUACAUUUUAAGGAAAGAAUUUUGGUUUCUUUCCAUGUUUAUUUCCUUUGCUGUUGUGGUUUUUUUUCUUUUGCAGGUACCAUCGAGGAUUUCAUGGCGAGGAAACGUUGAUCUGUGCACCGGUCACGGCGUGUCAUGGGGCCUGGAAUCACGGCACCGAUGGUGGUGACGAUUAGCGUGCCUGUGAUACCAGCUCUGGAACCUUCCAUUUGCGGCGCCUAGGGUUCCAAAAACCCUAGGUCUUCCCUCUCCUGUUUACCAAAUUGGGCCAUUUGGGCCAUACCUGGUUGGGUGUAAAUGGGCUAGUGGGGUAGUCUAGGCUAUUGGGUUGUAACCGGUCUGUUUGGGUUUGUGUGUAACGGGUCUGAGGUUUUAAGUAUUUGGGCCACUAACACUUGGGCUUUUGUAAACUAGACUGAAAUAAAUAAACUUUU